RNAcentral lists this ribosomal RNA (381 nucleotides) under Staphylococcus epidermidis. Its description in RNAcentral is "bacterial SSU rRNA". It matches the Rfam family "Bacterial small subunit ribosomal RNA", at positions 654 to 1030 of the family's 1533-position model. Lineage: Bacteria; Bacillati; Bacillota; Bacilli; Caryophanales; Staphylococcaceae. The record is from RNAcentral.
GAGGAAAGUGGAAUUCCAUGUGUAGCGGUGAAAUGCGCAGAGAUAGUGGAGGAACACCAGUGGCGAAGGCGACUUUCUGGUCUGUAACUGACGCUGAUGUGCGAAAGCGUGGGAUCAAACAGGAUUAGAUACCCUGGUAGUCCACGCCGUAAACGAUGAGUGCUAAGUGUUAGGGGGUUGUCCGCCCCUUAGUGCUGCAGCUAACGCAUUAAGCACUCCGCCUUGGGGAGUACGACCGCAAGGUUGAAACUCAAGGAAUUGACGGGGACCCGCACAAGCGGUGGAGCAUGUGGUUUAAUUCGAAGCAACGCGAAGAACCUUACCAAAUCUUGACAUCCUCUGACCCCUCUAGAGAUAGAGUUUUCCCCUUCGGGGGACAGA